This 65-nucleotide transfer RNA is filed under the name Tachycines shuangcha. RNAcentral's name for it is "tRNA-Ile". Lineage: Eukaryota; Metazoa; Arthropoda; Insecta; Orthoptera; Rhaphidophoridae. The record is from RNAcentral.
AAUAAAGUGCCUGAUUAAAGGGUUAUCUUGAUAGGAUAAAUUAAGUGAUUUAUUCACCUUUAUUA